AUCUUGGUGCCUCCUAAAUACAGCAUAAAAAUCGAGCAGAGGAGAUAGACUUUGGAGACAAAACACACCAACUAAAACGUAUCAUCAUGCCCAAACAUAUUACCAGAAACACUGGAAUAAGAUCAACAAUAGGUAUUAGAAAACUUUUGAAACUGUAUCAUAAGAACAACACCCAAAAGCCCAAGGUGUCCCUUUCCUCUCAGCAAUCCCAGGGCAAUCAAGGGAAACUACUUCCUCUUGAUACUCAGGCUGAAAACAGUGGUUCAAAUAAGAUUAAUUCAAACAAUUUUUGAACAGGUUUAUGCUAGCCAUCUUAAACUGUGAUAGCAAUGGAGAGAACCGUACCACUUGAGAGGUCAACGACAUUGUGACACGGUGGUGCCAGCCCCAGUCACUCCUUGCAGCACAUGGUGCCCUCCCUCUCACACCACGCCACUGCUGCACUCUUACCUUACCAGUGGCCACAGCCCUUGCCGGAUUCUGGAAGUUUCAGCAUCAAAAGAAAGCACAGCCCAAACCGCUGUUCACUUCACCUCGCUCUCCCUGCAGACAGCAUAGCACCCCACAGCCAGGUAGUGCCAGUGCUGGAAGCUUCCUGAAAGUGGGCGGCAACAGCGGUGGCACAGCCCAGCCUUGCCUCACAAAGGCCCCACAUGCUGUCCCUGUGCUGUGACUGCCCCGCUGCUGGCAGGUGUUAUCAUGGCUUCUGCAAGCGGCUUGUGCGGGACUUGUGCACAGGGACGGAUGGUAGAGCGGCAGGGCCCCACCUCACCUGCCUCUCUCGGCCAACUGAGCACCACAACCUCAAGUUCAGCCAUCUACCUACUGUGAUCCCAAAGACCUUGUGUUUUAUUUAUCCUGGACAAUCUGUCAUGAAAAUACCAGGAGACAGAAACAUACCUCUGUGCAGUCCCUUCAAUUGUUCACUGCAGACACAAAGGAUAGAGCAAAGUUGCAAACCUAUUGGAGAUCCUGAAGGAGUAUCAUUGCCUAUGACUCCCUCUAGUGAUUCUGCUAUGUGAAAUACAGCCAUCGACAGAUAACAGCCAUAUGAAGUCACCCCGAAUUCUUCACUAGAUACAUUCUUCAAGUCUAGAAUAAAGUUUUUUUCAUAAUGGCA
This 1120-nucleotide long non-coding RNA is filed under the name Anas platyrhynchos platyrhynchos (common mallard). RNAcentral's name for it is "lncRNA (ENSAPLG00000018960.1)". The record is from RNAcentral. Lineage: Eukaryota; Metazoa; Chordata; Aves; Anseriformes; Anatidae.